GGAUGCGAUCAUACCAGCACUAAAGAACCGGAUCCCAUCAGAACUCCGAAGCUAAGCGUGCUUGGGCGAGAGUGGUACUUGGAUGGGGAAGUCCUCGUGUUGCAUUCC
RNAcentral lists this ribosomal RNA (108 nucleotides) under Triticum aestivum (bread wheat). Lineage: Eukaryota; Viridiplantae; Streptophyta; Magnoliopsida; Poales; Poaceae. The record is from RNAcentral.